GAUGAAGAACGUAGCGAAAUGCGAUAAGUAAUGUGAAUUGCAGAAUUCAGUGAAUCAUCGAAUCUUUGAACGCACAUUGCGCCCGCCAGCACUCUGGCGGGCAUGCCUGUUCGAGCGUCAUUUCAACCAUCAAGCCCCAGGGGCUUGUGCUGGGGCCCUGCGGCUGCCCGCAGGCCCUGAAAACCAGUGGCGGGCUCGCUAGUCACACCGAGCGCAGUAGCACAUCUCGCUCAGGGCGUGCGGCGGGCUCCUGCCGUGAAACCCCCCACUGUAACCCCAAAGGUUGACCUCGGAUCAGGUAGGAAUACCCGCUGAACUUAAGCAUAUCAAUAAGCGGAGGA
Molecule: unclassified non-coding RNA, 341 nt
Filed under: soil metagenome
Description: partial contains 5.8S ribosomal RNA, internal transcribed spacer 2, and large subunit ribosomal RNA
Rfam family: 5.8S ribosomal RNA (bases 1-120)
Source: RNAcentral